RNAcentral lists this transfer RNA (71 nucleotides) under Camelus bactrianus (Bactrian camel). It matches the Rfam family "tRNA". From Rfam's summary of the family: Transfer RNA (tRNA) molecules are approximately 80 nucleotides in length. Their secondary structure includes four short double-helical elements and three loops (D, anti-codon, and T loops). RNAcentral also lists the same sequence under 2 other names. Lineage: Eukaryota; Metazoa; Chordata; Mammalia; Artiodactyla; Camelidae. The record is from Rfam by way of RNAcentral.
GAGUGUAUAGCUCAGUGGUAGAGUACAUGCUAGGCAUGCAGGAGGUCCUGGGUUCAAUUCCCUGUACCUCU